This 253-nucleotide ribosomal RNA is filed under the name uncultured bacterium. RNAcentral describes it as "partial 16S ribosomal RNA". It matches the Rfam family "Bacterial small subunit ribosomal RNA", at positions 524 to 776 of the family's 1533-position model. The record is from RNAcentral.
UACGUAGGGUGCAAGCGUUGUCCGGAAUUAUUGGGCGUAAAGAGCUCGUAGGCGGUUUGUCGCGUCUGCUGUGAAAACUCGGGGCUUAACCCCGGGCCUGCAGUGGAUACGGGCAGACUAGAGUGCGGUAGGGGAGACUGGAAUUCCUGGUGUAGCGGUGAAAUGCGCAGAUAUCAGGAGGAACACCGGUGGCGAAGGCGGGUCUCUGGGCCGUAACUGACGCUGAGGAGCGAAAGCGUGGGGAGCGAACAGG